This 76-nucleotide transfer RNA is filed under the name Candidatus Cloacimonadota bacterium. Its description in RNAcentral is "tRNA-His". It matches the Rfam family "tRNA". Rfam says of the family: Transfer RNA (tRNA) molecules are approximately 80 nucleotides in length. Their secondary structure includes four short double-helical elements and three loops (D, anti-codon, and T loops). Further hydrogen bonds mediate the characteristic L-shaped molecular structure. tRNAs have two regions of fundamental functional importance: the anti-codon, which is responsible for specific mRNA codon recognition, and the 3' end, to which the tRNAs corresponding amino acid is attached (by aminoacyl-tRNA synthetases). tRNAs cope with the degeneracy of the genetic code in two manners: having more than one tRNA (with a specific anti-codon) for a particular amino acid; and 'wobble' base-pairing, i.e. permitting non-standard base-pairing at the 3rd anti-codon position. The record is from RNAcentral. RNAcentral also lists the same sequence under 1 other name. Lineage: Bacteria; Pseudomonadati; Candidatus Cloacimonadota.
GUGGCUGUAGCUCAGGUGGUAGAGCACAGGAUUGUGGCUCCUGUGGCCGUGGGUUCAAGUCCCAUCAGCCACCCCA